RNAcentral lists this ribosomal RNA (270 nucleotides) under uncultured archaeon. RNAcentral's name for it is "partial 16S ribosomal RNA". It matches the Rfam family "Archaeal small subunit ribosomal RNA", at positions 477 to 747 of the family's 1478-position model. The record is from RNAcentral.
CAGCACCUCAAGUGGUCAGGAUGAUUAUUGGGCCUAAAGCAUCCGUAGCCGGCUCUGUAAGUUUUCGGUUAAAUCUGUAUGCUCAACAUACAGGCUGCCGGGAAUACUGCAGAGCUAGGGAGUGGGAGAGGUAGACGGUACUCGGUAGGAAGGGGUAAAAUCCUUUGAUCUAUUGAUGACCACCUGUGGCGAAGGCGGUCUACCAGAACACGUCCGACGGUGAGGGAUGAAAGCUGGGGGAGCAAACCGGAUUAGAUACCCGCGUAGUCC